RNAcentral lists this long non-coding RNA (216 nucleotides) under Medicago truncatula (barrel medic). RNAcentral's name for it is "lncRNA gene23236". Lineage: Eukaryota; Viridiplantae; Streptophyta; Magnoliopsida; Fabales; Fabaceae. The record is from RNAcentral.
ACUGCCUCUUCCUUCUGGUGUUUCGGUUUGCAGACAUCAGUUGGGCAAACAUGUUUAAGGUGCACUCAAGUUUCAAUAUUUCAUCGUCUUCAAUAAUGAGGUUCAAGUGGUUAUUGCAACAAUGGACACAACUUUAUUAGAAUGAAUGCUGAUAUGGAUGUUGAUUUCAGUCGGUAUGAGGAUGAAGACAUAACCCUUGAUCGCGAUGAUUAUCGU